CCUACGGGUGGCAGCAGUAAGGGAUAUUGGUCAAUGGGGGAAACCCUGAACCAGCAACGCCGCGUGAGUGAAGAAGUAUUUCGGUAUGUAAAGCUCUGUCAGCAGGGAAGAAAAUGACGGUACCUGACCAAGAAGCCCCGGCUAACUACGUGCCAGCAGCCGCGGUAAUACGUAGGGGGCAAGCGUUAUCCGGAUUUACUGGGUGUAAAGGGAGCGUAGACGACAGGGCAAGUCUGGAGUGAAAGGCGGGGGCUCAACCCCCGGACUGCUCUGGAAACUGCCAGGCUGGAGUGCAGGAGAGGUAAGUGGAAUUCCGAGUGUAGCGGUGAAAUGCGUAGAUAUUAGGAGGAACACCAGUGGCGAAGGCGGCUUACUGGACUGUAACUGACGUUGAGGCUCGAAAGCGUGGGGAGCAAACAGGAUUAGAUACCCGAGUAGUC
Molecule: ribosomal RNA, 440 nt
Filed under: uncultured bacterium
Lineage: Bacteria
Description: partial 16S ribosomal RNA
Rfam family: Bacterial small subunit ribosomal RNA
Source: RNAcentral